RNAcentral lists this ribosomal RNA (707 nucleotides) under Acinetobacter sp. Its description in RNAcentral is "bacterial SSU rRNA". It matches the Rfam family "Bacterial small subunit ribosomal RNA", at positions 33 to 736 of the family's 1533-position model. Lineage: Bacteria; Pseudomonadati; Pseudomonadota; Gammaproteobacteria; Moraxellales; Moraxellaceae. The record is from RNAcentral.
AGGCUGGCGGCGGCUUACACAUGCAGUCGAGCGGGGGAAGUAGCUUGCUACUUAACUUAGCGGCGGACGGGUGAGUAAUACUUAGGAAUCUACCUAAUAGUGGGGGACAACAUUUCGAAAGGGAUGCUAAUACCGCAUACGCCCUACGGGGGAAAGCAGGGGACUCUUCGGAGCCUUGCGCUAAUAGAUGAGCCUAAGUCGGAUUAGCUAGUUGGUGGGGUAAAGGCCUACCAAGGCGACGAUCUGUAGCGGGUCUGAGAGGAUGAUCCGCCACACUGGGACUGAGACACGGCCCAGACUCCUACGGGAGGCAGCAGUGGGGAAUAUUGGACAAUGGGGGGAACCCUGAUCCAGCCAUGCCGCGUGUGUGAAGAAGGCCUUUUGGUUGUAAAGCACUUUAAGCGAGGAGGAGGCUCCCAGUAUUAAUACUAUUGGAGAGUGGACGUUACUCGCAGAAUAAGCACCGGCUAACUCUGUGCCAGCAGCCGCGGUAAUACAGAGGGUGCAAGCGUUAAUCGGAUUUACUGGGCGUAAAGCGUGCGUAGGUGGCCAAUUAAGUCAAAUGUGAAAUCCCCGAGCUUAACUUGGGAAUUGCAUUCGAUACUGGUUGGCUAGAGUAUGGGAGAGGAUGGUAGAAUUCCAGGUGUAGCGGUGAAAUGCGUAGAGAUCUGGAGGAAUACCGAUGGCGAAGGCAGCCAUCUGGCCUA